ACGGAAGGCAGCAGUGGGGAAUAUUGGGCAAUGGACGCAAGUCUGACCCAGCAACGCCGCGUGAAGGAAGAAGGCUUUCGGGUUGUAAACUUCUUUUGUCAGGGAAGAGACGAAGACGGUACCUGACGAAUAAGCCACGGCUAACUACGUGCCAGCAGCCGCGGUAAUACGUAGGUGGCAAGCGUUGUCCGGAUUUACCGGGUGUAAAGGGCGUGUAGCCGGGUCGGCAAGUCAGAUGUGAAAUCCAUGGGCUCAACCCAUGAACUGCAUUUGAAACUGUUGAUCUUGAGUAUCGGAGAGGUAAUCGGAAUUCCUUGUGUAGCGGUGAAAUGCGUAGAUAUAAGGAGGAACACCAGUGGCGAAGGCGGAUUGCUGGACGACAACUGACGGUGAGGCGCGAAAGCGUGGGGAGCAAACAGGAUUAGAUACCCUGGUA
This 436-nucleotide ribosomal RNA is filed under the name uncultured Oscillibacter sp. RNAcentral describes it as "partial 16S ribosomal RNA". It matches the Rfam family "Bacterial small subunit ribosomal RNA", at positions 341 to 792 of the family's 1533-position model. The record is from RNAcentral. Lineage: Bacteria; Bacillati; Bacillota; Clostridia; Eubacteriales; Oscillospiraceae.